GCAUGUGGUUUAAUUCGACGCAACGCGAAGAACCUUACCUGGCCUUGACAUGCAGAGAACUUUCCAGAGAUGGAUUGGUGCCUUCGGGAACUCUGACACAGGUGCUGCAUGGCCGUCGUCAGCUCGUGUCGUGAGAUGUUGGGUUAAGUCCCGUAACGAGCGCAACCCCUAUCCCUAGUUGCUAGCAGUUCGGCUGAGAACUCUAGGGAGACUGCCGGUGACAAACCGGAGGAAGGUGGGGAUGACGUCAGGUCAUCAUGGCCCUUACGGCCAGGGCUACACACGUGCUACAAUGGUGCGCACAGAGGGCUGCAAACCCGCGAGGGGGAGCCAAUCUCACAAAACGCAUCGUAGUCCGGAUCGCAGUCUGCAACUCGACUGCGUGAAGUCGGAAUCGCUAGUAAUCGUGAAUCAGAAUGUCACGGUGAAUACGUUCCCGGGCCUUGUACACACCGCCCGUCACACCAUGGGAGUGGAUUGCACCCGC
Molecule: ribosomal RNA, 487 nt
Filed under: Marinobacter sp. #3 MY-2009
Lineage: Bacteria; Pseudomonadati; Pseudomonadota; Gammaproteobacteria; Pseudomonadales; Marinobacteraceae
Description: bacterial SSU rRNA
Rfam family: Bacterial small subunit ribosomal RNA
Source: RNAcentral